Molecule: ribosomal RNA, 1655 nt
Filed under: Archoplites interruptus (Sacramento perch)
Lineage: Eukaryota; Metazoa; Chordata; Actinopteri; Centrarchiformes; Centrarchidae
Description: 16S ribosomal RNA
Rfam family: Bacterial large subunit ribosomal RNA
Source: RNAcentral
ACCAUUAAUAACCCCCAAUACACUAGUGUUAUAUCAAACAAACCAUUUUUCCCCCCAAGUAUGGGCGACAGAAAAGGGACUAACGGCGCAAUAGAGAAAGUACCGCAAGGGAACGCUGAAAGAGAAAUGAAAAAACCCAGUAAAGCCUUGAAAAGCAGAGAUUUAAACUCGUACCUUUUGCAUCAUGAUUUAGCUAGAAACAUUCAGGCAAAGAGAACUUUAGUCUGACUUCCCGAAACUAAGUGAGCUACUCCAAGACAGCCUAUUAAUAGGGCACACCCGUCUCUGUGGCAAAAGAGUGGGAAGAACUUUGAGUAGAGGUGACAGACCUACCGAACUUAGUUAUAGCUGGUUGCCUGGGAAAUGAAUAGAAGUUCAGCCUUCCGGCUUCUUUUCUCACCUCAGUCCAAACUUCCUACAGACACCCAAAGAAACCGCGAGAGUUAGUCAAAGGGGGUACAGCCCUUUUGAAAUAAGACACAACUUUUCCAGGAGGAUAAAGAUCAUAAUAAAUUAAAGUAAAAUGUUUUGGUGGGCCUAAAAGCAGCCACCCUCAUAGAAAGCGUUAAAGCUCAGACAUAUCACUUACCUCCUUAUUCUGAUAACUUAUCUUAAUCCCCUAACUUUACCAGGCCGCCCCAUGCAAUCAUGGGAGUGACCAUGCUAAUAUGAGUAAUAAGAGAGUCUCGACUCUCUCCCCGCACACAUGUAAGUCGGAACGGACCAACCACCGAACCUUAACGGCCCCAAACAAAGAGGGCAAUGAACUACAGACCAAACAACUAGAAGAACAUUCAAUCUUUAACCGUUAAACCCACACUGGUGUGCCCCUUGGGAAAGACUAAAAGAAAAAGAAGGAACUCGGCAAACACAUGAAGCCUCGCCUGUUUACCAAAAACAUCGCCUCUUGCUGAAACAAAGAAUAAGAGGUCCCGCCUGCCCUGUGACUAUAAGUUUAACGGCCGCGGUAUUUUGACCGUGCGAAGGUAGCGCAAUCACUUGUCUUUUAAAUGAAGACCUGUAUGAAUGGCAUAACGAGGGCUUAGCUGUCUCCUUUUUCCAGUCAAUGAAAUUGAUCUCCCCGUGCAGAAGCGGGGAUAAGACCAUAAGACGAGAAGACCCUGUGGAGCUUUAGACACUAGAGUAAGUCAUGUUAAACACCCCUAAAUAAAGGGCCAAACCAAAUGAAGAUUACCUCGAUGUCUUUGGUUGGGGCGACCGCGGGGAAACACACAACCCCCACGUGGAAUGGGAACACUUCCUCCUACAACUAAGAGCUACCGCUCUAGUUAACAGAAUUUCUGACCAAUAAGAUCCGGCAGUGCCGAUCAACGGACCGAGUUACCCCAGGGAUAACAGCGCAAUCCCCUUUUAGAGCCCAUAUCGACAAGGGGGUUUACGACCUCGAUGUUGGAUCAGGACAUCCUAAUGGUGCAGCCGCUAUUAAGGGUUCGUUUGUUCAACGAUUAAAGUCCUACGUGAUCUGAGUUCAGACCGGAGUAAUCCAGGUCAGUUUCUAUCUAUGCUAUGAUUUUUUCUAGUACGAAAGGACCGAAAAGAAGAGGCCCAUGCUUCCAGUACGCCUCCCCCCCACCUAAUGAAAACAACUAAAAUAGGCAAAAGGGCAUGCCCCCUUUUGCCUGAGAUUACGGCAU